Molecule: transfer RNA, 71 nt
Filed under: Loxodonta africana (African savanna elephant)
Lineage: Eukaryota; Metazoa; Chordata; Mammalia; Proboscidea; Elephantidae
Rfam family: tRNA
About the family: Transfer RNA (tRNA) molecules are approximately 80 nucleotides in length.
Source: Rfam by way of RNAcentral
GCAUUGAUGAUUCAGUGGUAGAAUUCUCAGCUUCCACGCAGGAGAUCUGGGUUCAGUUCCCAGCCAGUGCA